Molecule: unclassified non-coding RNA, 347 nt
Filed under: soil metagenome
Description: partial contains 5.8S ribosomal RNA, internal transcribed spacer 2, and large subunit ribosomal RNA
Rfam family: 5.8S ribosomal RNA (bases 1-120)
Source: RNAcentral
GAUGAAGAACGUAGCGAAAUGCGAUAACUAAUGUGAAUUGCAGAAUUCCGUGAAUCAUCGAGUCUUUGAACGCACAUUGCGCCCACUGGUAUUCCGGUGGGCAUGCCUGUUCGAGCGUCAUUAUCCUCCCUCAAACCCCGGGUUUGGUGUUGGACCUCAAGUUGUGCGAGCAACUGGUCUUAAAGACAAUGACGGCGUCCGGAGGACCCUCGGUGCAACGAGCUUUCAGGAGCACGCGUCGAGUUUCAAGGACCUUCCGGCCCGGUCUCUUUACUCCUUUUACACAAGGUUGACCUCGGAUCAGGUAGGAAUACCCGCUGAACUUAAGCAUAUCAAUAAGCGGAGGA